Molecule: ribosomal RNA, 313 nt
Filed under: uncultured bacterium
Lineage: Bacteria
Description: bacterial SSU rRNA
Rfam family: Bacterial small subunit ribosomal RNA
Source: RNAcentral
GACGAACGCUGGCGGCGCGCCUAACACAUGCAAGUCGAACGAGGUUGAGAGGAGCUUGCUUUUCUUGACUUAGUGGCGAACGGGUGAGUAACGCGUGAGGAACCUGCCUCAAAGAGGGGGACAACAGUUGGAAACGACUGCUAAUACCGCAUAAGCCCACAGCUCCGCAUGGAGCAGAGGGAAAAGGAGUGAUCCGCUUUGAGAUGGCCUCGCGUCCGAUUAGCUAGUUGGUGAGGUAAUGGCUCACCAAGGCGACGAUCAGUAGCCGGUCUGAGAGGAUGAACGGCCACAUUGGGACUGAGAUACGGCCCAG